RNAcentral lists this transfer RNA (59 nucleotides) under Erithacus rubecula (European robin). It matches the Rfam family "tRNA", at positions 8 to 63 of the family's 71-position model. From Rfam's summary of the family: Transfer RNA (tRNA) molecules are approximately 80 nucleotides in length. The record is from Rfam by way of RNAcentral. RNAcentral also lists the same sequence under 1 other name. Lineage: Eukaryota; Metazoa; Chordata; Aves; Passeriformes; Muscicapidae.
UAGCUCAGUUGGUCAGAGCAUGGUGCUAAUAAUGCCAAGGUUAUGGGUUUGAUUCCCAU